This 466-nucleotide ribosomal RNA is filed under the name uncultured bacterium. Its description in RNAcentral is "partial 16S ribosomal RNA". It matches the Rfam family "Bacterial small subunit ribosomal RNA", at positions 28 to 507 of the family's 1533-position model. The record is from RNAcentral.
GAUGAACGCUGGCGGCGUGCUUAACACAUGCAAGUCGAACGAUGAAGCCCAGCUUUCUGGGUGGAUUAGUGGCGAACGGGUGAGUAACACGUGAGUAACCUGCCCUUAACUCUGGGAUAAGCCUUGGAAACUGGGUCUAAUACCGGAUAGGAGCGUCCACCGCAUGGUGGGUGUUGGAAAGAUUUAUCGGUUUUGGAUGGACUCGCGGCCUAUCAGCUUGUUGGUGGGGUAAUGGCUCACCAAGGCGACGACGGGUAGCCGGCCUGAGAGGGUGACCGGCCACACUGGGACUGAGACACGGCCCAGACUCCUACGGGAGGCAGCAGUGGGGAAUAUUGCACAAUGGGCGCAAGCCUGAUGCAGCGACGCCGCGUGAGGGAUGACGGCCUUCGGGUUGUAAACCUCUUUCAGUAGGGAAGAAGCGAAAGUGACGGUACCUGCAGAAGAAGCACCGGCUAACUACGUG